UACGUAGGGACCGAGCGUUGUCCGGAUUCAUUGGGCGUAAAGAGCUCGUAGGCGGCUGCUCAAGUCGAAUGUGAAAACUCGAGGCUCAACCUUGAGCCUGCAUUCGAUACUGGGCGGCUAGAGUCUGGUAGGGGGAUCUGGAAUUCCUGGUGUAGCGGUGGAAUGCGCAGAUAUCAGGAGGAACACCGGUGGCGAAGGCGGGUCUCUGGGCAGUAACUGACGCUGAGGAGCGAAAGCGUGGGGAGCGAACAGG
RNAcentral lists this ribosomal RNA (253 nucleotides) under uncultured bacterium. RNAcentral's name for it is "partial 16S ribosomal RNA". It matches the Rfam family "Bacterial small subunit ribosomal RNA", at positions 524 to 776 of the family's 1533-position model. The record is from RNAcentral.